UUUUCUACUUAAAUGCUGUCCGAUUACUGUUUCUACUUUGCAAGUUUUUCUUCUUCAUCACUGCCGCAACAUAACUUUCUCCUUGUUCACUGCACCUUCCUCUUCUUCAUCACCGCCGCAACAUAACUUUCUCUUUGUUAUAAAAGCUAUUCUCCACUGCAACACAACAUAUUUAACACAGCGAAAACCACCGAUGCAACACAGUUUUAUCACCGCCACGAGAUCCACCGCCGCAACAUAACUUAUUUAUCGCCCCGAGAGCCACCACUGCGACACAGCCUAUCUACCGUCGCGAGAACUACUAUUGUAACACAACCUAAUUAUUAUUGCGAGAGCCACUUCACUCAUAGUCUCGCCGCCGUCACUGCCACUUGAAGUAGUUCUUUUUUUAUAGAACUUCUAAUUUUCAAUCUCAUUAAUUCAAAUUCUCGAUAAUCCAAUUUUAAUUGGGACCACCUCCAUAUUUCUCGAAUUCGAGUUUAUUCUUCCGCGUGAAGCCUGUAGUCAUAUGUCUGAUGUUUGUGUUCUUUUGUUUGAAAUAGAGAAAGAACAUUGGUACCAUUUGUCGAAUAGUUAUAGGUGGUAUGGAGGGACUAGAAGAAGUGUCAAUGGAAGUGGUUGAUGAAACAGUUGAGGCUACUGUUGAUGAUAUUAGUGCUGAGGAUGGAGAAUCUAUUGAAAAUAUUAUAAAUAUUGAUAGUAUGGAGGAUAUUCUUAGUAUGGACCUGAAAAGACUAAGUCCCCAUGACACAAGAAAGGAGAAAUAUUACAGCGGGCAUUUGUUUGUCACAGACAGGGGUUUAGGGAGGAUAGAGGUUUAACAAUAGAAAAUCGUAAGCGUGAGCAUAAAACUGAUACUCGGUCUGGAUGUGAAGCAAAAUUUCGAGUGCAUAUAGAUAUGUUCUCACAAUGUUGGUGGAUAACAGUUUUUAACGAUCAACACAACCAUGAUCUUUUAUAUGAAGAGUAUCAUGGAAUGCUUGUUUCACAUCGAAAAAUGGAAGAUUCAGAUAUAAUGCAGAUGAACGACAUGUUGAAGGAUUGUAUGAGACCGUCUCAAUUAUAUGGUUCUUGUGCCAACCAAUCAAGAGGGUAUGUAAAAAUAGGGUUUCGUAGGAAAGAUAUAUAUAAUCAGAUAUGAAAGCAAUGCCUUUUGCAACGAUGUGAUGGUAAAAAUGCAUUACACUAUCUUCAUGGACUGGCAUCAGAUGACCCGAUGAUGUUUUAUCGCCACACUGUUGAUGGAGAAGGUAGGCUUUCCAACCUUUUUGGGUCUGAUGGUAUAAGCCAAAUGGAUUUCAAAGUUUUUGGUGAUGUCUUGGCAUUUGAUGCAACAUAUGGGACGAACAAAUACUGUUGCCCCUUAGUGGUGUUUUUUGGAGUUAAUAACCAUAAUCAUAAUAUUAUAUUUGACGGUGCUAUUGUUGCAAAUGAAAAAGAAAAAACAUAUGUGUGGGUUCUUGGAAAAAAUUUGGAAGCAAUAUCAGGUAAGUCGCCUAUAUCGUCAUUACUGAUGGCAAUCUUGCAAUGAAGAAAGCUAUAAAUAAGGUGUUUUUGAAUGCUUAUCAUUGGUUGUAUGCUUGGCAUCUAAUUCGCAAUGCAAUGUCUAACAUUGGAGUUCCUGAAUUUGUUAGUCAGUUUAAGAAAUGCAUGUUGGGUGACUAUGACCUGGGUGAGUUUCAGCGCAAGUGGGCUGACAUGAUUGACGCAUUUGGGUUGCAUGACAACAAGUGGGUUACAAAAUUGUAUGCAAAGAGAAAGACGUGGGCUACAGCUCAUAUACGCGGAAUUUUUUUCGCUGGGUUCAGAACUACCUCCCGGUGUGAGGGGUUACAUUCAGAAAUAGGGAAGUUUCUUCACUCACAAUAUAAUUUAAGUGAAUUUUUAUUACAUUUUCAUCGGUGUCUUAAUUACAUGUUUUAUAAGGAGGUAGAAGCUGACUUUGUAUCAAAUUACGGUGAUCAUAUGCUACAAACAAGAUUUCAAAGCAUAGAGCAUUGCGCUGGGAAGUUAUUUACUAGAAAAAUAUUACUUAUGUUUCGUGAUCUUCUUGCACAGUCCGCGGAGAUGGUAGUGGCAACAUGUCAUUAAACUUAUACUUGUAUCAUAUACACAGUUCUCAAGUACCAAACAUCAAAAAGGGAGUGGAACGUAUCACUCUAUCUUGAUGAUGACAUGUUUCGAUAUAUGCGUUUGAGCAAAUUAGUAAGUGAGAGUGGUGAUGAUUUCGAUUACCAUAUGAGAAAUGGAAGCAAAAAGGGGCUUACAUGAUGAUGGACCCACAAAUUCAAGUGAAUUUGUCCACGAGACACUGAAGGAUCCUGCUCAAGCUAGAACUAAAGGAUGCGCUGGGGAAUCUUCAUCAUGUCAGAAAAAAGGAAGCGCACUAAGUGUUCUACUUGCAAAAAAUUUGGUCAUAACAAGCAAACAUGUUCAUUACCUCGACAUAAUGCUAACACGGCAAAUUCGUCACACGGAGAUUUUCACAACAUUGAAUUCAGUAAUGACUCUGUAAGCAAUUUCUUUAAUGUUGCUAUUUAAUGGUAUCGUUAUAUAUAUAUUACCCAUUGUUAUAAAUAUCUAUGGUACUUGCAAUUGCAUAACAAUCUUGAUUGAAUUGUAAAAGCGCAUCUGCGAAAUAAGUGUGAAAACGGAUGCACCUUAUAAGUUAACUUAAAUAUAGUAAUUAGUUGGAUACAUAUGCAAUUGCGAUGUGGUCUAUUGAUAUCAUCUUGUUUUAAUUCUUGAUAGAAAUGUUUAAAUUGUUCAUGCAAAAUGAUUCAAGAAAUUCGUAGAAUUCUUUCACUGGCUAUUGUAUCUCAAUUCAUAUUUUUUCUGUUUGUUUUUAUUAAAAUAUUUUGUUGCAUGGAUAAUGUAUUUGUUCAACACUUGAUGAUACUUACGUGUUUCAAUUACGCUUUUUCUACCUGAUAGAAUUUGAUCUGUUAGUUUGGUUAUACAUGCAUUUGUAGUGUGGACUACUCAUGUACUUAAUAAAUUAAAUUAUAUUUUAUUUUAUUAAAUUGAUUAUUGGUUUGAUUUGGAUUAUCUUUCCCGUUACACGUAAGAUUGGAUAAGAUAUAUCUUGGGUCCCAUUACAGUUUUGUAUUACCGUUGUAUGUCACACAUAAACGAGUUCCCGAGUAAGUUCCAGACAUAGAUUUCUUACAAGGCCCUGGUGUGUGUGUGUCGGAUUCUAGUUUAUAGCUCCAUUGCAGUUCCAGUUGGUCUCGCUGUGGAGUUGAUCAGUGGGUGUGUCGAGGUUGAUAUAAUUAAGAAAAAUUGCAGGCAGAAAGCUCCAGCAGCUGUAUUUUAUGGUGUGAUGUCGUGACCAAGUGUGGCAGCUUUGAAGUGGCUUGUUCUGUUAGCACAUUGGUGGUUGGGCUGAAUUGUUUUAUUGGUGCAACAGGGUGCUGAAAGUAGCUGAGCUAGCAGUUUUUUUUCGAGAGUUUGGUCGUUGUAUUGUCGCUGAUUUGUAGAUUGUCUAGCCUAUUAUGAAGUUCAAGUUAGUGCAUCAACUGUCUGCUUUUAAAAAUGUAGACAUGUUCAUUUAACUAUUACUAUAGCAGGUUUUUUGUGUGUGAAAGGUAUAGAAGUAGUUAAAUGAGUAGUACCAUUUUGAAAAUUUAAAUAAUGUAACCAUUCUAAAUACUUUUACAUUUAACAUUAAACUAAUAGUAGUUAAAUAAGAAUCAUUUUCAACACUGUCACACUAAUAAUUUUGACUGCAAAAACAAAUUGGACUGCAGAGGUAAUCUAAACAGGAUCUUGUCUAUUUCAUGUUCUACAUUAAUUGUUUGUCACUUGAAAAGGUGUUAAUCAAUCUAUAUGGUGCUUGUAGGAUGAAAAGGUUGUUAUUCGCGUCAAGAGGUCUGUUGAAGAUGAGACCUUGGAUCAACUAGUUGCCAACAUAUAGUGGCAUGAAAGAAUACUUUAAUAGCAGAUUAGUCUUGGUUUUGGACUACAAGGAUAUGUUUGGUUUGUUCUUUAUUGGAUUUAACUAAGUUUGAAUCAGAAGAGAGUGCCUGCAGAAAAUUUGUGCCACUCAAUCAAACAAAGAAUCAAACUCAGCAUCAUCAUGACAUAUGAUUUGAGACCGCAAUGAACACAGUAUUUCUUCAACUGAUUCAUUGCAAGGAAAGUCCAUUUCUACCAGCUUCUUAAAUGACUCAAAUCAUACUUGCAACAGUUAUGUGGGAAGUCGGACGACGAAGAGUCAGUUUUCUAAUAUCGUGUUCUCUCCUAAAAAUAUUAGUUUUGAAGACAACGAAGCUCGGCUAAGUCCUCCAGCCUCUGCUGGUUUUGAUAACACUUCAAUAUUUGUCUUGCUUUUCUUUUGUUUGGAAAUGAAGACUUUGAUAAGGAAGGGCUGUCUUCAGGUCCCGAUUAUAUGGCAGAAGUUUUUGUUCAUGUCAAGAGUUAUAGGGGGCAUACUUUUGUUAGUGUAGUAUCCUUGGGAGCGGUCAAUGAUAUGGUUGCGUUUGUUUUGAAGUGGUUGCAUCUUGGCAUUAGAUUUAUCACGGAGUUGCUUUUCAGCUAAGGUAUUUUGUGCAUGUGGUGCAUUCACGCUUGGUUCUUUGCUUGAGGCGAUUUUUAUCGGUAGCUUGGAUUUGGUUGCAUGUAGAAUCUUGUUUAUCAAUGUUUGUAUGUAUUUGAGUAGCUGAGAUUAAUUUUGGGGUUGGAUUAGCUUGGGUGGAGUUUCUGUCAUAUAGCAGUAUGAAUGUAACAUAUAGUAACUUAUAAAUUGAAAUUGUCUUUAAUAUUACUUUUAUAUACAAUACUUUAAUAGACAUGUCUAUGAUAAUAAACUAACAAAUUUUCUUAACACUCAUGACCCAUUUUCUUCAGACGAACAAUGUUGAAAUGUGUGUUCAGUAAGGUAGACUAGAAAAAAUUAAUAUCACUGGAAUAAAAAAUUAACUUCUAAAACUAUAAUUAUUUUCUAUUUCUACCUUGUAAGAUUUCAUUGAAGUAGCCUAAAUAUAUAAGAAACAAAUCAGCUGCAUAAUCAUGUUAUUUUCUUAAACAGAAUCAAUCACAUUG
Molecule: long non-coding RNA, 5043 nt
Organism: Vicia villosa (hairy vetch)
Lineage: Eukaryota; Viridiplantae; Streptophyta; Magnoliopsida; Fabales; Fabaceae
Exons: 4
Source: RefSeq, a predicted model, not a curated record